RNAcentral lists this long non-coding RNA (370 nucleotides) under Fukomys damarensis (Damara mole-rat). Its description in RNAcentral is "lncRNA (ENSFDAG00000027965.1)". The record is from RNAcentral. Lineage: Eukaryota; Metazoa; Chordata; Mammalia; Rodentia; Bathyergidae.
CUGACAGCCUUCUGUCUUUUUCCAAGAACACCCACUGUGUUCAUGAUUAGUUAACACCUGGCUAGGAUAACAUCUUGGGGCUUGUGACCACUUAGGGUGGUGACUCAGGAGUAGAGAAGGUAACAAGAGGUGUGGUUAACCACCUUCCUGCUGGCACCCAGGGCCACACCCACCUCACACAAACAAGGCUGCAGACAUAGAGAAAAAAGUACCUUUUUCUUAUUCUCUGAUGUGGAGAUGUCUGCGCAAGGCACUUGAAACUUCUGUAGCCCCUUGAAACUAUUAGAGGAGGUUUGGCCAACUCGGGGAGCAUAUAUGGAAACAGUCAGCAUCCUGGAUGACACCACCAACGGCGCCCCCAAAACCCUGG